CGUGUAGGCGGGUUGGCAAGUCAGAUGUGAAACCCCACGGCUUAACUGUGGGACUGCAUCUGAAACUGCUGGUCUUGAGUGCUGGAGAGGAAAGCGGAAUUCCCAGUGUAGCGGUGAAAUGCGUAGAGAUUGGGAGGAACACCAGUGGCGAAGGCGGCUUUCUGGACAGUAACUGACGCUGAGGCGCGAAAGCGUGGGGAGCAAACA
Molecule: ribosomal RNA, 207 nt
Filed under: uncultured Bacillota bacterium
Lineage: Bacteria; Bacillati; Bacillota
Description: uncultured Firmicutes bacterium partial 16S ribosomal RNA
Rfam family: Bacterial small subunit ribosomal RNA
Source: RNAcentral